AGGGAAUGCGGGCUUCGGGUUGUUAACCUUUUUCCGUUGGGAAGGAGGCCCUUUUUGGGGGUGACGGUACUUGCAGAAGAAGCGCCGGCUAACUACGUGCCAGCAGCCGCGGUAAUACGUAGGGCGCAAGCGUUAUCCGGAAUUAUUGGGCGUAAAGAGCUCGUAGGCGGUUUGUCGCGUCUGCCGUGAAAGUCCGAGGCUCAACCUCGGAUCUGCGGUGGGUACGGGCAGACUAGAGUGAUGUAGGGGAGACUGGAAUUCCUGGUGUAGCGGUGAAAUGCGCAGAUAUCAGGAGGAACACCGAUGGCGAAGGCAGGUCUCUGGGCAUUUACUGACGCUGAGGAGCGAAAGCAUGGGGAGCGAACAGGAUUAGAUACCCUGGUAGUCCAUGCCGUAAACGUUGGGCACUAGGUGUGGGGGACAUGCCACGUUUUCCGCGCCGUAGCUAACGCAUUAAGUGCCCCGCCUGGGGAGUACGGCCGCAAGGCUAAAACUCAAAGGAAUUGACGGGGGCCCGCACAAGCGGCGGAGCAUGCGGAUUAAUUCGAUGCAACGCGAAGAACCUUACCAAGGCUUGACAUGUUCCAGACCGGGCCAGAGAUGGUCUUUCCCCUUUUGGGGCUGGUUCACAGGUGGUGCAUGGUUGUCGUCAGCUCGUGUCGUGAGAUGUUGGGUUAAGUCCCGCAACGAGCGCAACCCUCGUUCCAUGUUGCCAGCGGGUUAUGCCGGGGACUCAUGGGAGACUGCCGGGGUCAACUCGGAGGAAGGUGGGGAUGACGUCAAAUCAUCAUGCCCCUUAUGUCUUGGGCUUCACGCAUGCUACAAUGGCCGGUACAAUGGGUUGCGAUACUGUGAGGUGGAGCUAAUCCCUAAAAGCCGGUCUCAGUUCGGAUUGGGGUCUGCAACUCGACCCCAUGAAGUCGGAGUCGCUAGUAAUCGCAGAUCAGCAACGCUGCGGUGAAUACGUUCCCGGGCCUUGUACACACCGCCCGUCAAGUCACGAAAGUUGGUAACACCCGAAGCCGAUGGCCUAACCACCUUGCGUGGGGGGAGUCGUCGAAGGUGGGACUGGCGAUUGGGACUAAGUC
Molecule: ribosomal RNA, 1088 nt
Filed under: Glutamicibacter creatinolyticus
Lineage: Bacteria; Bacillati; Actinomycetota; Actinomycetes; Micrococcales; Micrococcaceae
Description: bacterial SSU rRNA
Rfam family: Bacterial small subunit ribosomal RNA
Source: RNAcentral